GAUGAAGAACGUAGCGAAAUGCGAUACGUAUGUGAAUUGCAGAAUUCAGUGAAUCAUCGAGUCUUUGAACGCACAUUGCGCCCCCUGGUAUUCCGGGGGGCAUGCCUGUCCGAGCGUCAUUGCUGCCCUCAAGCACGGCUUGUGUGUUGGGCCUCCGUCCUCCUCCCGGGGGACGGGCCCGAAAGGCAGCGGCGGCACCGCGUCCGGUCCUCGAGCGUAUGGGGCUUCGUCACCCGCUCUUGUAGGCCCGGCCGGCGCUUGCCGACACAUCAAUCUUUUUUCCAGGUUGACCUCGGAUCAGGUAGGGAUACCCGCUGAACUUAAGCAUAUCAAUAAGCGGAGGA
This 344-nucleotide unclassified non-coding RNA is filed under the name soil metagenome. RNAcentral's name for it is "partial contains 5.8S ribosomal RNA, internal transcribed spacer 2, and large subunit ribosomal RNA". The stretch from base 1 to 119 matches the Rfam family "5.8S ribosomal RNA", at positions 35 to 154 of the family's 154-position model. The record is from RNAcentral.